RNAcentral lists this ribosomal RNA (888 nucleotides) under Salmonella enterica. RNAcentral's name for it is "partial 23S ribosomal RNA". It matches the Rfam family "Bacterial large subunit ribosomal RNA", at positions 2055 to 2925 of the family's 2925-position model. Lineage: Bacteria; Pseudomonadati; Pseudomonadota; Gammaproteobacteria; Enterobacterales; Enterobacteriaceae. The record is from RNAcentral.
GAAGAUGCAGUGUACCCGCGGCAAGACGGAAAGACCCCGUGAACCUUUACUAUAGCUUGACACUGAACAUUGAGCCUUGAUGUGUAGGAUAGGUGGGAGGCUUUGAAGUGUGGACGCCAGUCUGCAUGGAGCCGACCUUGAAAUACCACCCUUUAAUGUUUGAUGUUCUAACGUGGACCCGUGAUCCGGGUUGCGGACAGUGUCUGGUGGGUAGUUUGACUGGGGCGGUCUCCUCCUAAAGAGUAACGGAGGAGCACGAAGGUUGGCUAAUCCUGGUCGGACAUCAGGAGGUUAGUGCAAUGGCAUAAGCCAGCUUGACUGCGAGCGUGACGGCGCGAGCAGGUGCGAAAGCAGGUCAUAGUGAUCCGGUGGUUCUGAAUGGAAGGGCCAUCGCUCAACGGAUAAAAGGUACUCCGGGGAUAACAGGCUGAUACCGCCCAAGAGUUCAUAUCGACGGCGGUGUUUGGCACCUCGAUGUCGGCUCAUCACAUCCUGGGGCUGAAGUAGGUCCCAAGGGUAUGGCUGUUCGCCAUUUAAAGUGGUACGCGAGCUGGGUUUAGAACGUCGUGAGACAGUUCGGUCCCUAUCUGCCGUGGGCGCUGGAGAACUGAGGGGGGCUGCUCCUAGUACGAGAGGACCGGAGUGGACGCAUCACUGGUGUUCGGGUUGUCAUGCCAAUGGCACUGCCCGGUAGCUAAAUGCGGAAGAGAUAAGUGCUGAAAGCAUCUAAGCACGAAACUUGCCCCGAGAUGAGUUCUCCCUGAGACUUUAGGUCUCCUGAAGGAACGUUGAAGACGACGACGUUGAUAGGCCGGGUGUGUAAGCGCAGCGAUGCGUUGAGCUAACCGGUACUAAUGAACCGUGAGGCUUAACCUUACAACGCCGAAG